AAAGACCACCCGCUGAGUUUAAGCAUAUCAAUAAGCGGAGGA
RNAcentral lists this ribosomal RNA (42 nucleotides) under Pohlia nutans. Its description in RNAcentral is "partial 28S ribosomal RNA". The record is from RNAcentral. Lineage: Eukaryota; Viridiplantae; Streptophyta; Bryopsida; Bryales; Mniaceae.